RNAcentral lists this ribosomal RNA (497 nucleotides) under uncultured bacterium. Its description in RNAcentral is "bacterial SSU rRNA". It matches the Rfam family "Bacterial small subunit ribosomal RNA", at positions 15 to 507 of the family's 1533-position model. The record is from RNAcentral.
GAUCCUGGCUCAGAUUGAACGCUGGCGGAAUGCUUUACACAUGCAAGUCGAACGGUANAGGGGGCAACCUCUCGAGAGUGGCGAACGGGUGAGUAAUAUAUCGGAACGUGCCCAGUCGUGGGGGAUAACGUAGCGAAAGUUACGCUAAUACCGCAUACGAUCUACGGAUGAAAGCGGGGGACUCGCAAGAGCCUCGCGCGAUUGGAGCGGCCGAUAUCAGAUUAGGUAGUUGGUGGGGUAAAGGCUCACCAAGCCAACGAUCUGUAGCUGGUCUGAGAGGACGACCAGCCACACUGGAACUGAGACACGGUCCAGACUCCUACGGGAGGCAGCAGUGGGGGAAUUUUUGGACAAUGGACGCAAGUCUGAUCCAGCCAUUCCGCGUGCAGGAUGAAGGCCCUCGGGUUGUAAACUGCUUUUGUACGGAACGAAAAGGUCUGGGUUAAUACCCUGGGCUCAUGACGGUACCGUAAGAAUAAGCACCGGCUAACUACGUG